RNAcentral lists this ribosomal RNA (524 nucleotides) under uncultured bacterium. Its description in RNAcentral is "partial 16S ribosomal RNA". It matches the Rfam family "Bacterial small subunit ribosomal RNA", at positions 28 to 523 of the family's 1533-position model. The record is from RNAcentral.
GACGAGCGCUGGCGGCGUGCCUAAUACAUGCAAGUCGAACGAAGCUGUUUUAACUGGUGCUUGCACCGACUUAAACAACUGAGUGGCGAACGGGUGAGUAACACGUGGGUAACCUGCCCCAAAGCGGGGGAUAACAUUUGGAAACAGAUGCUAAUACCGCAUAAUCACAGAAACCACAUGGUUUCUGUGUCAAAGAUGGUUUCGGCUAUCACUUUGGGAUGGACCCGCGGCGUAUUAGCUAGUUGGUAAGGUAAUGGUUUACCAAGGCAAUGAUACGUAGCCGAACUGAGAGGUUGAUCGGCCACAUUGGGACUGAGACACGGCCCAAACUCCUACGGGAGGCAGCAGUAGGGAAUCUUCAACAAUGGACGAAAGUCUGAUGGAGCAACGCCGCGUGAGUGAAGAAGGUUUUCGGAUCGUAAAACUCUGUUGUCAGAGAAGAACGUGUGCGAGAGUAACUGUUCGUGCAGUGACGGUAUCUGGCCAGAAAGCCACGGCUAACUACGUGCCAGCCGCCGCAGUAA